Molecule: ribosomal RNA, 253 nt
Filed under: uncultured bacterium
Lineage: Bacteria
Description: partial 16S ribosomal RNA
Rfam family: Bacterial small subunit ribosomal RNA
Source: RNAcentral
UACGUAGGGGGCAAGCGUUGUCCGGAAUUAUUGGGCGUAAAGCGCGUGUAGGCGGCUCGGUAAGUCUGCUGUGAAAGUUCAGGGCUCAACCCUGAAAUGCCGGUGGAUACUGUCGAGCUCGAGUCCGGAAGAGGCGAGUGGAAUUCCUGGUGUAGCGGUGAAAUGCGCAGAUAUCAGGAGGAACACCAAUGGCGAAGGCAGCUCGCUGGGACGGUACUGACGCUGAGACGCGAAAGCGUGGGGAGCAAACAGG